Molecule: ribosomal RNA, 253 nt
Filed under: uncultured bacterium
Lineage: Bacteria
Description: partial 16S ribosomal RNA
Rfam family: Bacterial small subunit ribosomal RNA
Source: RNAcentral
GACAGAGGAUGCAAGCGUUAUCCGGAUUUAUUGGGUUUAAAGGGUGCGUAGGCGGCCUAUUAAGUCAGGGGUGAAAGACGGUAGCUUAACUAUCGCAGUGCCUUUGAUACUGAUGGGCUUGAAUGAACUAGAGGUAGGCGGAAUGUGACAAGUAGCGGUGAAAUGCAUAGAUAUGUCACAGAACACCAAUUGCGAAGGCAGCUUACUAUGGUUUUAUUGACGCUGAGGCACGAAAGCGUGGGGAUCAAACAGG